This 28-nucleotide small RNA is filed under the name Bombyx mori (domestic silkworm). Its description in RNAcentral is "ovarian small RNA-20788". Lineage: Eukaryota; Metazoa; Arthropoda; Insecta; Lepidoptera; Bombycidae. The record is from RNAcentral.
UACCGUUCUACUGCUCUCUUUUUCCUGC